GACGAACGCUGGCGGCGUGCUUAACACAUGCAAGUCGAACGGAAAGGCCCUGCUUUUGUGGGGUGCUCGAUUGGCGAACGGGUGAGUAACACGUGAGUAACCUGCCCUUGACUUUGGGAUAACUUCUGGAAACUGGGGCUAAUACCGGAUAGGAGCUCCUGCUGCAUGGUGGGGGUUGGAAAGUUUCGGCGGUUGGGGAUGGACUCGCGGCUUAUCAGCUUGUUGGUGGGGUAGUGGCUUACCAAGGGUUUGACGGGUAGCCGGCCUGAGAGGGUGACCGGCCACAUUGGGACUGAGAUAGGGCCCAGACUCCUACGGGAGGCAGCAGUGGGGAAUAUUGCACAAUGGGCGGAAGCCUGAUGCAGAAACGCCGCGUGCGGGAUGACGGCCUUCGGGUUGUAAACCGCUUUCGCCUGUGACGAAGCGUGAGUGACGGUAAUGGGUAAAGAAGCACCGGCUAACUACGUG
This 468-nucleotide ribosomal RNA is filed under the name uncultured bacterium. Its description in RNAcentral is "partial 16S ribosomal RNA". It matches the Rfam family "Bacterial small subunit ribosomal RNA", at positions 28 to 507 of the family's 1533-position model. The record is from RNAcentral.